Molecule: long non-coding RNA, 344 nt
Organism: Herpailurus yagouaroundi (jaguarundi)
Lineage: Eukaryota; Metazoa; Chordata; Mammalia; Carnivora; Felidae
Exons: 3
Source: RefSeq, a predicted model, not a curated record
CCCAGGGGGAGGUAGUAGCUCGCCUCCCUUGGCUGAGCUCCCUCCUUGCCAAGCCAGAGGCCAACCACCCUACUCUCAAGCGCCUACAGGAGCCGGGGACGACAGAUUUGCAACGCCCCCACGUGGCGAGGCUUCACCCCGAUUGGACUCUGCCUUCCAACUGCUGGAGAUGGAGGAUGACAAGUGACGAGUCCCAGACUCAGUAACUCCGGUGACCCAUGCUGAGCCCAGGGUAAAACUCCAGGAAGCAGCCAGAUCAGAUCCAUCGCCCAUUAUCACCAAUAAGAGGUUAGAAUGUUAGGAUGUCCUUGGAACCACAGUAGAGGGGACGGCCAUCUUGCUAG